GGACAACCAAUUUUAGUUAUAAUUGUAAAAUCACAAUUUUAAUUUGAUAAAAACACAAUUUCAACUGUGUGUUCUGUACAGUAUAUAACUAUCACCCUUAUAUUUAGGUAUGACAACAAGGUGAAGCAAGAUCGGAUAAGGGUGCGUCUCAUCUUCUUUCCAGCUCAAAUUCAACCCCAAAAAGCUUCAUUCUGAUUCCCACUUAAAUCAACCAUAUGCUCCUUCUAACUUCUUUCACAAGGCAAGCCCCAAUUUAAUUCUAAUUUCUGGGUUAUGUUCCCAAAUUGGUGUAAAAGAAAAGGAUUUUAUUGGUUCUUGAUACGGAUAUUGUUGUUAAUUGUAACUCAACGAACCGAUUUGCCAUUUUAUGUGUUAUUAUCUGUUAUUAACAAAGCAGGAAGAACUUCAAGCAAAAUAAUGAAGAAGCCAGUAAAAUUGAGGUUAAUAUGGAAAAGGUCAUUAUCAUAAGCUGUUUGGGCCUAAUUUGGUUCUUCCUCAAAUGGGUUUUGUUUAUUUCGAUCAUAGACUCAAUGAAAAGUGAUGAAUUUGUAGUAUUAUCAUAGAUGGAGAUGAUGCAAUUCAAAUGAUUCUGAAGUCUUAUUGUUGAAAGAGGUUGUAAUGGGAAGGUUCCUCAGUGAAUUCGUACUGCCUAUGCUGCUGUUGAAAGCUAGUCACACGAAUCAGUCACCCAUCUUGGGUCUCUUUUCCAUUUCUCAUUUGUAGCAGCAUUGGACUUGUUGAUUGGUCUUUAACAAGCAAUUUUCUAGGUCUCUUCUGGUGGUGGAGGCAUUUUUGUUGUAUGCAGGCUUGAACAUCAUCCUUCUUUAUGUAUAUCAACUUCCCAUUGAGUUUUUUGAGAUCUUUCUUUGGGUUGCUGAAUUCAUUGGGCACUUUAAAAUAUCUGCAAAAUCAGAGCAGUCGGAAGUUUGUUAUGGUCUUUCCCUCCUACUUUUCUACGUCAUGGUAAGCAUAGUUUUAUUAUUACAUCUAUAAACUAGGUUAUGUUUUGUUUGGGGUCAUUGUCUGGUAUGAUGGUAUAGUCUUGGUUGUCAAGUGGGGAUGCAUCAUCAUACAUGAGUUUAGAGUGGCCACUUCUUGUAAAAGUUCCAAAGCUAAUAGCCUUUCUAGGUUUCGGCUGGACCAUCACUAGGUAAUGGCCUUAUCAAAUGAAACAAUUAUGUUCUCAUGUUGCAGUUUGUUCCUUAUUAGGGUUCUAUGCAAAUGUGUCAGAUUUGUUCUGAAUUCCCUAAAUAAAAAUGACCACUCU
Molecule: long non-coding RNA, 1267 nt
Organism: Quercus robur (English oak)
Lineage: Eukaryota; Viridiplantae; Streptophyta; Magnoliopsida; Fagales; Fagaceae
Exons: 3
Source: RefSeq, a predicted model, not a curated record